CACCACAACAGGUGGAGCCUGCGGUUUAAUCGGACUCAACGCCGGGAAACUCACCAGAUAAGACAGCUGAAUGAUAGUCGGGCUGAAGACUCUACUUGACUAGCUGAGAGGAGGUGCAUGGCCGUCGUCAGUUCGUACUGUGAAGCAUCCUGUUAAGUCAGGCAACGAGCGAGACCCACGCCAACAGUUGCCAGCUCGUCCUCCGGGAUGGUGGGGACACUGUUGGGACCGCCUCUGCUAAAGAGGAGGAAGGAAUGGGCAACGGUAGGUCAGCAUGCCCCGAAUUAUCUGGGCUACACGCGGGCUACAAUGGGUGGGACAAUGGGUAUCGACACCGAAAGGUGAAGGCAAUUUCCUAAACCCAUCCGUAGUUCGGAUUGUGGGCUGCAACUCGCCCACAUGAAGCUGGAAUCUGUAGUAAUCGUGUCUCAAAAUGGCACGGUGAAUAUGUCCCUGCUCCUU
This 462-nucleotide ribosomal RNA is filed under the name uncultured Methanomicrobiales archaeon. RNAcentral describes it as "bacterial SSU rRNA". It matches the Rfam family "Archaeal small subunit ribosomal RNA", at positions 877 to 1338 of the family's 1478-position model. Lineage: Archaea; Methanobacteriati; Methanobacteriota; Methanomicrobia; Methanomicrobiales. The record is from RNAcentral.